RNAcentral lists this ribosomal RNA (443 nucleotides) under uncultured bacterium. Its description in RNAcentral is "partial 16S ribosomal RNA". It matches the Rfam family "Bacterial small subunit ribosomal RNA", at positions 338 to 795 of the family's 1533-position model. The record is from RNAcentral.
CCUACGGGUGGCAGCAGUGGGGAAUAUUGGGCAAUGGGCGCAAGCCUGACCCAGCAACGCCGCGUGAAGGAAGAAGGCUUUCGGGUUGUAAACUUCUUUUCUCAGGGACGAAGAAAGUGACGGUACCUGAGGAAUAAGCCACGGCUAACUACGUGCCAGCAGCCGCGGUAAUACGUAGGUGGCAAGCGUUAUCCGGAUUUAUUGGGUGUAAAGGGCGUGUAGGUGGGAGCGCAAGUCAGAUGUGAAAACUCAGGGCUCAACCCUGAGCCUGCAUUUGAAACUGUGUUUCUUGAGUGCUGGAGAGGCAAUCGGAAUUCCGUGUGUAGCGGUGAAAUGCGUAGAUAUCAGGAGGAACACCGGUGGCGAAGGUGGCCUGCUGGACUGCGACUGACGUUGAGGCCCGAAAGCGUGGGGAGCAAACAGGAUUAGAUACCCCUGUAGUC